Molecule: long non-coding RNA, 615 nt
Organism: Oreochromis aureus
Lineage: Eukaryota; Metazoa; Chordata; Actinopteri; Cichliformes; Cichlidae
Source: Ensembl
GAUGAAUGGUAUCCCUCGGUCCAACCCACUUUCAGCCUGGCGCAUUAGGGGGCGCUAGUAUAAAUAGUGGCCAUUUGAGUGUCCCUGGAUCGCUUGCCUGUGACCUCCUUUUUGGUCACCUGACUUCCUGUUGGUGUUGCUGAGAUUAGUUGCGGGUUACUUUUCUGAAGCCUCCAUCGCAGCUGGUCGUAGCUGUAGAAGCCUCCUCUGAGCCAUUCUGCUUACGUUUUAUGACACGGCUUACUUGGAUAAAAGCAAAGCAGCAGCUACUUUGGUGUGGGAUUCCACAGCUGUGUUACAGAGAUGGAGGAAGAGUUACAGGAACUCAGGGACUUGAUCGUGCAGCUGAAAGCAGACAAUGAGAGGCUGCGUCAGGAGAGGGCUGUUGGGUCAGAUGCGGAGUGCUGACGUGGAGGAGACUAGGGUGCCUUGGUGGUGGGAUCCUCUGAGUGUACACACCUGCCUUGUUUAAUUUAUUAGUGUGAGUGUGCUGCACUUGUGUCUUGGUGUAUUUUCUUUUUUUGAGUUUGUGUGUGGCAUCCCUGCCCUCCACUGGUAAGCCUCAGCUCUGAAUACCUUUUUUUGCAUACUUUUACAUUGAUAUUUAUCACUGUG